ACGAACGCUGGCGGCAUGCCUAACACAUGCAAGUCGAACGAAGGCUUCGGCCUUAGUGGCGCACGGGUGCGUAACGCGUGGGAACCUGCCCUUCGGUUCGGAAUAACAGUUAGAAAUGACUGCUAAUACCGGAUGAUGACUUCGGUCCAAAGAUUUAUCGCCGAGGGAUGGGCCCGCGUAGGAUUAGCUUGUUGGUGGGGUAAUGGCCUACCAAGGCGACGAUCCUUAGCUGGUCUGAGAGGAUGAUCAGCCACACUGGGACUGAGACACGGCCCAGACUCCUACGGGAGGCAGCAGUGGGGAAUAUUGGACAAUGGGCGAAAGCCUGAUCCAGCAAUGCCGCGUGAGUGAUGAAGGCCUUAGGGUUGUAAAGCUCUUUUACCAGGGAUGAUAAUGACAGUACCUGGAGAAUAAGCUCCGGCUAACUCCGU
Molecule: ribosomal RNA, 431 nt
Filed under: uncultured bacterium
Lineage: Bacteria
Description: bacterial SSU rRNA
Rfam family: Bacterial small subunit ribosomal RNA
Source: RNAcentral